Molecule: long non-coding RNA, 384 nt
Organism: Anopheles arabiensis
Lineage: Eukaryota; Metazoa; Arthropoda; Insecta; Diptera; Culicidae
Exons: 3
Source: RefSeq, a predicted model, not a curated record
UUGAGCAUGGUAUCUUUUGAUAAUUCCGUACAAACACUAAUCUCCAACAUCUAUUUUUUUUCGAAUACUGCUCAACGUGUUUCGCAUUCCAUACGAGGAUUCAUCGAGGAAAAGCUAUCCCCUUACGUGACACGACACGACGUGACUGCGCUUAAUAUGGCGUUUCUUCUAGUCUCAACAGUUCCGCUUGUUUUUUAGAUAAGAACUCUUUGGAACAUUGCUCAUAGCAAGGAUUUAUUUUGUAAUUCUAUAUAAUGCAUUUACACAACUCUAAUAAUUUCUCCUCCAGGGUAUUCAUCUCCUCAAUGGACUCCACUGUGCAAAAGGUUGGCGAUGGGGUUUUAUCUGUGAGGCUCAAGCAGGUGUUUUGAUUCGCACAAAAGU